GAAAAAAAGUUGUUUAAUGCAAAGCCAUUAGAGAGUUUCCUGCAUUAUUUGAAGAUCAGUGGUGAACUAUGUGUUUAGGAAGUCUGUAAGGCGCUAAUGUGAUCGAUAGAGUUACACAGGUCUUUAUUAAAUAUGGAAGGAAGCAUGACAGAGGAAAACAAGAAGAAUCUUGAGUUUAUUGAAGAGGUGACUAGUAAUGUUGAUGAGGUACAAAAGAGAGUUCUUCAUGAAAUCCUCACUCGAAAUGCCAACGUUGAGUACUUGCAACGCCUUAAUCUCAAUGGUCACACUGAUAGAGAGACAUUCAAGAAAGUCGUGCCUAUCAUCACCUACAAAGAUAUUCAGUCCGAUAUCAACCGUAUAGCUAAUGGCGAUAGAUCUCCAAUCCUAUGUUCCCAGCCCAUAUCUGAAUUCUUUACAAGUUCUGGGACGUCGGGAGGGGAGAGAAAAUUGAUACCAACAACAGAGGAAGAGAACGGGAGGAGACAUCAACUUUACGGCCUUAUGAUGUCUGUGGUGUGCCAAUUUUUUCCAGAUUUGAGAAAUGGCAAAGGAAUGUAUUUCAUGUUCAUAAAGUCUGAAGCCAAGACCCCCGGAGGAUUAUUAGCUCGUCCUCUUUUAACUAGUGUCUACAAGAGUAGUCAUUUCAAAAACAGCAAUAGUCGUGUGUCGCCCUAUACGAGUCCAAUUGAAUCCAUUCUCUGCCUAGACUCUUACCAAAGCAUGUACUCCCAAAUGCUUUGUGGCCUCUACCAAAACAGAGAAGUCGUCCGUGUUGGCUCUAUUUUUGCAUCCGCCUUCAUCCGUGCUAUGCGAUUCUUAGAGGAUCACUGGUCUCUACUAUGUAACGAUAUCCGAACAGGAACCAUUAACAACAAAAUUUCUGAUCCUUCAGUAAGAGAGGCUGUGAUGAAAAUCCUCAAACCAGACUCGGAGUUGGCUGAUUUCAUCGAGGCUGAAUGCAGCAAGGAUUCAUGGGAAGGGAUCGUCACUAGGCUGUGGCCUAAUACCAUGUACGUGGACGUAGUCGUGACUGGAGCCAUGUCUCAAUAUAUACCAAUGCUCGAUUAUUACUGCAAUAGCCUCCCUCUCGUCAGUAUUGCGUAUGCUUCCUCAGAAUGUUUCUUUGGGAUCAACUUGAACCCCCUUUGUAAGCCCAGUGAAGUAUCUUACACACUCAUUCCCAUCGCAGCCUAUUUCGAGUUCUUACCAAUUCUCAGGAGCAAUGAAGUCAUCGAUUCUAUCUCCAUUCACACACCGUUUAAUGAGAAAGACGAACAACAAUUGGUCGAUUUGGUUGAUGUCAAGAUUGGCCAGGAGUACGAGCUCGUUGUUACCACAUAUUCUGGACUGUAUAGAUACAGAGUGGGUGAUGUGCUUCGGGUUGCUGGAUACAAGAACAACGCGCCUCAAUUCAACUUUAUACGCAGGGAAAAUGUGAUCUUGAGCAUCGAUUCUGAUAAGACUAAUGAAUUUGAUCUACAAAAUGCAGUGAAGAAUGCAGAAAACAAUCUGAUGCCAUUUGAUGCACGUGUAAUCGACUACACCAGCUAUGCCAAUACUGCUACUAUUCCAGGUCAUUAUGUCCUGUUCUGGGAGCUAAACGUCAGCGCCUCUUCCCCGAUUCCUCCUUCGGUCCUUGAAGAGUGUUGCCUCACCAUUGAAGAAUCUCUCAACAGCGUCUACCGCCAGGGUCGUACGUCUGACAAAUCCAUUGGGCCUCUUGAAAUCAGGAUAGUGGAAACAGGUACUUUUGACAAGCUCAUGGACUAUUGCUGUACUAGCUUACUAGGUGCUUCCAUUAACCAAUACAAGACGCCACGGUGCGUUAAAUUUGCACCACAUGUUGAGCUAUUGAAUUCGAGGGUUGUGUCGAGCUACUUCAGUCCCGUGUGUCCGAAAUGGGUUCCUGGAAGAAAGCAAUGGAACAACACGAAUUGAACUAUCCGUGGAUACUUACCGUACAUGCAGUUACAGUGGCAGAGGCAGAAUUUUCACCAACAGGGUUACGCUCGAUAUAUAAUAUACCUAAAUAAAAGUUUGAUUGUUGUGUUGAGCUACUUCGGUCCGUGUGUCCGAAAUGGGUUCCUAGAAGCAUGCAAUGGAACAAAAUCAUGAAUUGAAGUGUUGAUGGAAACUAAAUGGUUGUUACAUAUCGUUUCAUAAUCUAUCAUAUUGUGUUGUUUUGGUGAAUUCAAUGUCGGCAUAGAUUGUAUUGUUUACGUCGUUAAAGAAUGUCACACAUGAUAUAUCAUAUUGUGUUGUUUUGGUGAAAU
This is an RNA transcript of Solanum stenotomum, 2276 nucleotides long. It is a transcript of the gene named indole-3-acetic acid-amido synthetase GH3.6-like, with no coding region annotated. NCBI's taxonomy places the organism in Eukaryota, Viridiplantae, Streptophyta, Magnoliopsida, Solanales, Solanaceae. The record is from RefSeq and is a predicted model, not a curated record. The transcript is spliced from 6 exons.